Molecule: ribosomal RNA, 501 nt
Filed under: uncultured bacterium
Lineage: Bacteria
Description: partial 16S ribosomal RNA
Rfam family: Bacterial small subunit ribosomal RNA
Source: RNAcentral
GUUGAACGCUGGCGGCAGGCUUAACACAUGCAAGUCGAGCGGGGGAAGGUAGCUUGCUACCGGACCUAGCGGCGGACGGGUGAGUAAUGCUUAGGAAUCUGCCUAUUAGUGGGGGACAACAUCUCGAAAGGGAUGCUAAUACCGCAUACGUCCUACGGGAGAAAGCAGGGGAUCUUCGGACCUUGCGCUAAUAGAUGAGCCUAAGUCGGAUUAGCUAGUUGGUGGGGUAAAGGCCUACCAAGGCGACGAUCUGUAGCGGGUCUGAGAGGAUGAUCCGCCACAUUGAGACUGGAGCACGGCCCAGACUCCUACGGGAGGCAGCAGUGGGGAAUAUUGGACAAUGGGGGGAACCCUGAUCCAGCCAUGCCGCGUGUGUGAAGAAGGCCUUAUGGUUGUAAAGCACUUUAAGCGAGGAGGAGGCUACUUUAGUUAAUACCUAGAGAUAGUGGACGUUACUCGCAGAAUAAGCACCGGCUAACUCUGUGCCAGCCGCCGCGGUAA